This 366-nucleotide ribosomal RNA is filed under the name uncultured eukaryote. Its description in RNAcentral is "partial 18S ribosomal RNA". It matches the Rfam family "Eukaryotic small subunit ribosomal RNA", at positions 592 to 976 of the family's 1831-position model. The record is from RNAcentral.
CAAUAGCGUAUAUUAACGUUGUUGCAGUUAAAAAGCUCGUAGUUGGAUUUCUGGAGGGAGCGUCGGCCCGUAUUUACGAGUGCGUGACGUCUCUGUCCAUCCUUGCGGGAAGGCACGGCAUUGAUUUGUUGAGUCGGAUCGCAUCAUUUACUGUGAAAAAAUUAGAGUGUUCAAAGCAGGCUUUCGCUUGAAUACAUUAGCAUGGAAUAAUAAGAUAGGACUUUGGUGCUAUUUUGUUGGUUGAGCCUAAAGUAAUGAUUAAUAGGGAUAGUUGGGGGCACCUGUAUUGCGUUGUCAGAGGUGAAAUUCUUGGAUUUACGCAAGACAAACAGCUGCGAAAGCGUCUGCCAAGGAUGUUUUCAUUAA